This 72-nucleotide transfer RNA is filed under the name Danio rerio (zebrafish). It matches the Rfam family "tRNA". From Rfam's summary of the family: Transfer RNA (tRNA) molecules are approximately 80 nucleotides in length. Their secondary structure includes four short double-helical elements and three loops (D, anti-codon, and T loops). Further hydrogen bonds mediate the characteristic L-shaped molecular structure. tRNAs have two regions of fundamental functional importance: the anti-codon, which is responsible for specific mRNA codon recognition, and the 3' end, to which the tRNAs corresponding amino acid is attached (by aminoacyl-tRNA synthetases). tRNAs cope with the degeneracy of the genetic code in two manners: having more than one tRNA (with a specific anti-codon) for a particular amino acid; and 'wobble' base-pairing, i.e. permitting non-standard base-pairing at the 3rd anti-codon position. Lineage: Eukaryota; Metazoa; Chordata; Actinopteri; Cypriniformes; Danionidae. The record is from Rfam by way of RNAcentral.
GGGGAUGUAGCUCUGUGGUAGAGCAUAAGCUUCGCAUGGAUGAGGUCCUGGGUUCAAUCCCCAGCAUCUUCA